UGGAUCCAGACUUUGAUUCUGGCUCAGGAUGAACGCUGGCGGCGUGCCUAAUACAUGCAAGUCGAACGAAACUUCUUUAUCACCGAGUGCUUGCACUCACCGAUAAAGAGUUGAGUGGCGAACGGGUGAGUAACACGUGGGCAACCUGCCCAAAAGAGGGGGAUAACACUUGGAAACAGGUGCUAAUACCGCAUAACCAUAGUUACCGCAUGGCAACUAUGUAAAAGGUGGCUAUGCUACCGCUUCUGGAUGGGCCCGCGGCGCAUUAGCUAGUUGGUGGGGUAAAGGCUUACCAAGGCAAUGAUGCGUAGCCGAACUGAGAGGUUGAUCGGCCACAUUGGGACUGAGACACGGCCCAAACUCCUACGGGAGGCAGCAGUAGGGAAUCUUCCACAAUGGGCGAAAGCCUGAUGGAGCAACGCCGCGUGGGUGAAGAAGGUCUUCGGAUCGUAAAACCCUGUUGUUAGAGAAGAAAGUGCGUGAGAGUAACUGUUCACGUUUCGACGGUAUCUAACCAGAAAGCCACGGCUAACUACGUGCCAGCAGCCGCGGUAAUACGUAGGUGGCAAGCGUUAUCCGGAUUUAUUGGCCGUAAAGGGAACGCAGGCGGUCUUUUAAGUCUGAUGUGAAAGCCUUCGGCUUAACCGGAGUAGUGCAUUGGAAACUGGGAGACUUGAGUGCAGAAGAGGAGAGUGGAACUCCAUGUGUAGCGGUGAAAUGCGUAGAUAUAUGGAAGAACACCAGUGGCGAAAGCGGCUCUCUGGUCUGUAACUGACGCUGAGGUUCGAAGGCGUGGGUAGCAAACAGGAUUAGAUACCCUGGUAGUCCACGCCGUAAACGAUGAAUGCUAAGUGUUGGAGGGUUUCCGCCCUUCAGUGCUGCAGCUAACGCAAUAAGCAUUCCGCCUGGGGAGUACGACCGCAAGGUUGCAACUCAAAGGAAUUGACGGA
RNAcentral lists this ribosomal RNA (950 nucleotides) under uncultured Bacillota bacterium. RNAcentral describes it as "bacterial SSU rRNA". It matches the Rfam family "Bacterial small subunit ribosomal RNA", at positions 1 to 917 of the family's 1533-position model. The record is from RNAcentral. Lineage: Bacteria; Bacillati; Bacillota.